Non-coding RNA from Mycena leptocephala, 90 nucleotides. Lineage: Eukaryota; Fungi; Basidiomycota; Agaricomycetes; Agaricales; Mycenaceae. The record is from the annotation of a GenBank genome assembly.
GGCAGUAUGGUGUAAUGCUGCACAUGGGAUUUCCUUGGACUUUGAACAUGAGUUAUUCCCGAGGUCCUUGUUCGAAUCAAGGUACUGCUC